This 478-nucleotide ribosomal RNA is filed under the name uncultured bacterium. RNAcentral describes it as "partial 16S ribosomal RNA". It matches the Rfam family "Bacterial small subunit ribosomal RNA", at positions 28 to 523 of the family's 1533-position model. The record is from RNAcentral.
GACGAACGCUGGCGGCGUGCUUAACACAUGCAAGUCGAACGGUAAGGCCCUUCGGGGUACACGAGUGGCGAACGGGUGAGUAACACGCGGGUGAUCUGCCCUGCACUUCGGGAUAAGCCUGGGAAACUGGGUCUAAUACCGGAUAGGACUCCUGGCUUCAUGGUUGGGGGUGGAAAGCUUUUGCGGUGUGGGAUGGGCCCGCGGCCUAUCAGCUUGUUGGUGGGGUAAUGGCCAACCAAGGCGACGACGGGUAGCCGGCCUGAGAGGGUGACCGGCCACACUGGGACUGAGAUACGGCCCAGACUCCUACGGGAGGCAGCAGUGGGGAAUAUUGCACAAUGGGCGCAAGCCUGAUGCAGCGACGCCGCGUGAGGGAUGACGGCCUUCGGGUUGUAAACCUCUUUCAGCACCGACGAAGCGCAAGUGACGGUAGGUGCAGAAGAAGGACCGGCCAACUACGUGCCAGCCGCCGCGGUAA